UUACUUUUGUAGAAGCCUGAACCCCCUCAUACGUGGGGGUACAUACAUAUCUCCUUUUCAGUUGGAGUGUAUGUCAUGGUUUUGUAACUUUGCUAUUGGUAUUCCACAUCAUAACAUCAUGGCCAAAAGAGAAGAACUACGUAUCCCAGAGGACCUCACGGUCAGAGAAGGAAGAUACAUCACGGAAGAUACGUCAUCUGGUUGUGCGUGGUCUUUUUCACUUUUCGCUUGCUGCCAGGGAGAGGAGUGGGUGUGUGCUUUCCAAGCCAUGCGCCUUCAUCAAAAGUAAGAUAGCAGUGCUCGAAGUUUACAAAUGUCCCAGAAUAUUGGCAGACCGCCUGGACUUUUCAAGGUCAAGUUUUCACCUGCAGAAGAGAAAAAGCUCUCCUAACAAAGCUCUCCAAGAGCAGAGAGAGAUUCAUUAAAGCUAAAAUGCAGCUUUUUCCAGCAUUCUCCACCACAAAUGUCAACGGUUUAUGGGCUGGUUUGGCCUGGUUCCGUGACUAGCGGGGCAGAGGGAACCGCAGAUCCACACCUCCAGAAAGGGGAAACCGGGGACCCCAGAAUAAUUAAAAACAGCAGCAAUGAUCUGAGGAGAAACAAACUAAUUUACUAAAUAUGGUAUAAAGUCCUAGGUUCUGUUUCACAUGGAGCAGACAAAUCACCUGGGAAGCUGAUGCCCUUUGAUGAAGAGAAAGCCUCUAAGACUUUCUUUAACUCUGCAUCAAUUCAUAGGAAAGAAGUUUUGGAACCAUGGCUCAUAGAGCUUUUAACCUUUUGUGGAGACUGCCUGAUGAGGUUCUGCACAGAUGCCUUUAUGGAAUGAGAGAAGUUCUAUGAGAGAGAGAAGAACAUUUCAGCUUCUUGUGCUGCCCUGCCAGUGAGGAGACGGGGGGUGCAAAGAAGCUGAGGUGGGACAGAACCAGGACAGCUGACCCAAAAUGUCCAAAGGAAUAUCCUAUACCAUAUGACAUAGUUCUGACAAUAAAACUGGGAGACUGAGUGAGCUGUGUCGUGCUGAGCUGCCUGCCAGGGUUAAACCACAGCAGUAGUGCACCCAACAGAGGACUGGAAGAGUUUGAGAUUAUGACAGAUUUGACUGGAGUAUGGAGCGUGCUACACCAAAUGCAUAGUUGUUAUACUCUUCAGCUGCUAAUUGGUAUGCUCCCGCAGUUUUCCUGGGUCUUGCUUGCCUUACUGUAUUUUGGAGUCUACUAUCUGUUAGUGGAUGCUUUUGCUCUGUCUUCCCUCUCCACUUUCUACUUUCCACUCUCCCCUCUCCUCAGAAAACAAACAAACAAUAAUAGUAAUAAUAAUAGUAAUAGUAAUAAAACAAAACAAACAAACAAAACAAAACAAAACAAAAAAACCCGGAGGUUUUUAAUCAGUAGAUGGCAGUAAGAGCUAGCAAGAAGCCUGAAAGGGAGUCUCACAGACCUACACAUUAAUCAUACAUAUAGCAAAUUCCACAAAGUACAAGCCGACAAAGACCCUGCUUUACCACAAUCAAUCUUUAUUCACCACUAGAUUACAGUGGUUAGAUAUAUUUGAUUGCCACAGGUCCAAGAAAAAGCUUAUAAAUAACUAUAAAUGUAAUCGGCUUAAAUUUUUGCCAUUGUAUUUUUUGGUUUUAUUUUUGUUGUAGGCUGAGAUUGGGGUGCAAUCUGUUUAUCCUUAGAUUUGUUGUAUGACCACCCAGUCCAUCUGUCACCUUGACUUUGAAGCUGUAAUUUUAAUGUUUGGCUCUGUAAAUGUUUAAAGCAUCAUUACAAAUUUACAAAGGGAAAGAUACUGCUAACGGUGCAGCUGAAAUAAGACUGUCUCAGCUCACUUGUCUUUACUCCAAGACUUUCACUGCUGUGUGCCUGUGUUUUAAGCUGAAAUGAUAUCACAACAGUGAAGUAAUGCUGCAUUGUACUGCAGGAUCCAUUUUGGACAGCUCUAUUCUCUAGCCUGCAUUGCUUUUUCAAAAAGUCACAAUGUACAAUGGAUGUACACUUUAUUCACUUGUGAAAGGUAUGAAUUCAUGUAUUUUUCUAACAUACACUCAGCAAAAAAAGCAGUGUAAGUAUACUUGAAAAAAAAAAAAAAAGAAAAUAGAAUAAUAAUGUUGAUUUACUUUCCAGCUCACUAUCUAUAUAUAGUUAGAAAUGUAUAUUUAAUUUUCUGUAAAUUUGCAAGCUUUUUAACUGUGUAAUAUAUAUAAAAUUUGAAAUCCACACUGUAUUUCUCUGUUUGACUCUAUUUGUUUAAGCUAUGUAUUUGUGUACCAAUCAGACCUAUGAUAGUUUUAUUUAACUUCACAGUCCUUUUUCUGUGAAAGAAAAUUGUCUUUUUCUGCUUCCCAUUCAGUAGUACAGAUGUACAAGAAUUUUGUAACAAUCUUAAAUUUUCUUGCUUAAUAAAAAUAUUUUCACAGUAUAACACUGAAAUAACAUCAUGUAAGAUUGAAAGAAAAAAGAGAAACACAAAAUUAAAGAGAAGUUUGUGGCCUUUAGUUAUAAAUAUAGAGGAGUUUAUGGAGGCCACAAUGAAACAAUCAGCUCUGAAAGAAGUUUGAGACAAGAAAGCAUUAUUUCCAUAGGAGGUGAGUAGGGUCAGGGCACUGGUUCUGAAAAGCACCAUAAACUUUUGAAAGAUAUAAUUAAUGAUCGAAACAGGCAGACAGAUUAAGAGGUGCAUAUAUGUGUGCAUAGAUAUGUACAUUAUAUAUAAAUAUAAAUGAUAUAGUUACAGAUAUUGAUAGCAUAAUUAAUUUCUAGUUGGUCAAUAUUAGGAACCGCUAUAUAGCAUAGUAGUUGCAUUUGCUGUGGGGUGCUGGCAUUAAGAAAUUUGUAUACCAUGGUUAAACAUAUAUACAGCAACGAAUUCAACUCAGUAAGUGUUCCCUCUCCCCCUACAAAGUACACUGAUGUUUUAUAUUCUGUUGAAAUCAAUUGAAGUGUAUCACAUUGGCAUCCAAAGAAAACAACAGUUGGUGAUUUCAGAUUUCCCAGGUGAGGACUGCAAUCAGUUGAUCAAACUGCAAUUGCUUUUUACUCUGGGGUAAAUACAAAUAUGCAUGGAUUGUUCUUUGUGGUCAUGCUUCAGUGGUAUCCAGCUAGCUUCUGACAUCACCAGGUCUCCUUUACAGGCAGAUAAUUUUAUCCUUUUGCCAAGGACAGCCACUUUAGUCACAGCAUUUUGUAUCUGCCUUGGCUGCAGGAGAGUCAUCUCUUUUAACACAUUCAGAAACGAAUAUAUUUUACCAACAAAUUCUCCAUUCUAACAUUUUUGCAUCAUUUGUGAUUUUUUAUUCUUUUAUGUGGCCCUUUUACAUUAAAGCUAAACCAGAGCAUUCCUUCAUAAAUAAAUAAAUAAAUAAAUCUAGCUGAUUGAGUGCCAAAGACUGCACAAUAGACUUCACUAAGAGCUGAGAUUUAUUCAUUGCAAGCAUAAAGCAUUUGAGUACUCUGCAAUUUAAUCUUUUUUUUUUUUUUUUUUUUUUUUUUCACUUUCAUCAAGCAAUUGGUAGGCUGUAGAGAGUUCUAGCAAUUUUUUUGAUUAAUUCAGUACAAUAUUACCUUUGGUUCUCUAUCAGCAUGAAGGUUAUAAAAACAAUAGCAUUUAAGAUAUAGAAAAUAUCUCAAAAAGGUGACAAUAAUACUAAAUAUGUAUUCUAUUUUUUGACAAAAAUGUCGAUGCAGGACUGAAAAGGAGUAAUAAAAUACCACUGUGAUAUUAACACUUUGUGGGAGGACACUGUCAUCUUUGUAAUUUAAUGCUUUGUUUGUUUUUCAUAGUUUUUACACUGGCAGAAUAUCCAGAGCCCAGUAUAAAUUUUUAAAAAGUCAGCAAUUCAUUAAUACUUCUCUUUAUGUCAUGUUCACAGAUUGAAUCUGAUUGGAAUUUCAAAGAAGGUCAGAGUGAACUUUUCAAGUUUUAUGUGAAUAAAAACACCCAACAGGAUCAAAACCUAUUCCGCUUUAUUCAUUCAGAAUAUAAUCAAAUAAAUAUGGGCUUAACAGCUUCUUUCUUUAACCCCAAAUUCGAAAGGCUUAUGUGAGUUCUUCCAUUACCUUGCUAUUGUGGAAAUACUGAGAAGCAACUUCCUCUCCAUUUCAAGUUUCAUACUGGAAUUAAUGCACUAAUAUCUGUCUUGGGAAACAGGUAUUUGUAAUGUUAAUUCAGUCCUCAUCAGCAUCAUAACUUUAGAGCUAAUGACAAAAUGAUGUAACAAGAUAAUGGAGUCUGAAAGUGAACAAUAGAAAUUAUGUUCCACUCCCCAAUCCAGACACAUUUUUUAAAUAUUAGAGAUGUGGAACAAAGGUAAUGAGAAUCUGACAAGUCACUCACUAUUUGACAGUAAGGAGAAAUACAGAGAAAAAGAGAGUGUUGAAGACUCAAAAAGUGCAGUGGGAGGAAACACAGCACCAACUGUACAGAAGCAAUUUUCAUGUCACAGUCUGUAUUAAGGAAUUAAUGUCAGUUUUUCUCCUCACUUCAAAAUAUUGAUAUUUAAAACAAUCAAAACGGUUUUAUUCAAAAAGUUCCAGUAGCAGCAGUAUUAAAUUAUAGAAUUAUUUUAUUAAAUUAAACAGAAAAAUACUGAGGUUUUAUUAGCUGUGUAGAGAUGACAGGUAACCCCUUUUCUUCAACAGACUGGUGUAAGAGGGUGAUCUUAUAUUUAUUGACUUGCCACACUCUCGUGUGAUCUGUCUUUUGUACAUGUAGCUAUCUGCCAAUCAGAAGGCAGAUAGUGGAAAAUACCUUUCUCCAUCUCUUUGCCUGUGUACUCAUCCUCAUCCACAAAAUAUUUCCUUCACUUCAACAGUGUAAGUCCAUUUAAAAGUAUACAGAAACUACCAUGACUUACUAGAUUAUUACAAGAUUUAGAGGAAUAAAGUUAUGUUCUUUGAGACUAAUUAUUUUUGCUUCUGGCUUUCAUUGUAUUCUGUACAUCAACAGGCUUCCUGUUUGAAAAACAGUUCACUUUUAAAUGGCUUCAUGCUGUUAUCCAAGAUAUUAUAAAUUUGGUAUAGGACAUAAGUGGAUUAUGAGUGGAAAAUGGACUAAAUUCAAAGGGUCAGAAGUCCAAAGUCCAGCUGGUGGUUAGCUACUAGUGGUACCUCUCAGAAUUCAUAGGGCCACUGCCAUUAAACAGUGUUAUUAACAGCUUGAGUUAUGAGGUAGCAUGCACACUCAAUGAACUUACUGAAAAAUAUCAAGCUAGGAGAAGGUGAUGAUGCACUGGGAGGACAGGGCUGCUAACCAGGAGAAAUGAACUGACAGAAAAGUCCUGAAAAUCAAAUGUAAAGGCAAAGUCCUGCACAAGGCAAGGAAAAAUCCCAUGUGCCAGGGUAGACUGAGGAUUGACUAGCUGGAAAGCAGCUUUCCUGAAGAACUUCUGGGGUCAACAAAAUGGAAUGUGCCUUCACAAUAAAGAAGGCCAACUAUGCUUUAACAAGUAGCAAAGCAGUAUCUAG
Gallus gallus (chicken) is the source of this 5465-nucleotide long non-coding RNA. Lineage: Eukaryota; Metazoa; Chordata; Aves; Galliformes; Phasianidae. The record is from Ensembl.